RNAcentral lists this ribosomal RNA (1491 nucleotides) under Triticum aestivum (bread wheat). RNAcentral's name for it is "partial small subunit ribosomal RNA". Lineage: Eukaryota; Viridiplantae; Streptophyta; Magnoliopsida; Poales; Poaceae. The record is from RNAcentral.
AUGCCUACACGUACGUCUUCAAUGGCGCCGUCGACGGAGACGAACGAGUUCAACGUUGCUACGUCAGCGCUCCCGACACACUUCGUUCUCGUCCCCCUCGUGGCGCAGGGCCACACCAUCCCGAUGGUGGACCUUGCACGCCUCCUCGCAGGACGCGGUGCGCGCGUGAGCGUGGUGACCACGCCCUGGAACGCCGCGCGCCUCCAGGGCGUCGCCGACUCUGCGCGGCGCGCCAAGCUGCCCCUAGACAUAGUCGAGCUCCCGUUCGCGCCGGCCGACGACGGACUGCCCCCCGGCUGUGGCGACGACAUCGACACCUUAGCCCCCAUGUUCCAGGCCCUCCACAGGCUCGCCGGCCCCUUGGAGGCCUACCUGCGCGCGCUGGGGCGGCGGCCCGGCUGCAUCAUCUACGACAGGGCUAACGCAUGGACUGCCGGCGUGGCCAGGAGCGUUGGGGUGCCGCUGCUCUUCUUCCACGGCCCUUCCUGCUUCUACUCGCUCUGCGACCUCAACGUCGCCACGCACGGACUUGUUGAGGAGCGCGAGACGUGCGUCAUGCCAGGCAUGCCGGUGCGCCUGGAGAUGACCAGGGCUACCUGCUCCUCCGCUUUCUUGAAGACUCCUGCGUGGGAGGCGUUCCAGAAGAACGCCAUGGAGGCCAUGCGCAUGGCCGACGGCGCCGUCGCCAACACGUUCCUGGACCUCGAGGGACAGUUCGUGUCGUGCUACGAGGCGGCGCUGGGGAUGCCGGUGUGGGCGCUCGGGCCGUUCUGCCUCAGCAACCGCGACGAGACGGCCCUGGCGUGCCGCGGGGACAAGGACAGACCCACCGCCGUCAACCAGAGCGCGGUCACCGAAUGGCUCGACGCCAUGUGCACCGGCUCCGUUGUUUUUGCCAGCUUCGGCAGCCUCGUGCGGGUGCUUCACGAGCAGCUGUACGAGGUCGGGCAUGGCCUCGAGGACUCGGGCAGGCCGUUCCUUUGGGUCGUGAAGGAGUCCGAGGUGGCGGCCUCGCCGGAGGUGCUGGAGUGGCUGCAAGCCCUGGAGGCACGCACCGCGGGUCAUGGCCUCGUGGUGCGCGGCUGGGCGCCGCAGCUCGCCAUCCUGUCGCACCGCGCCGUGGGGGCCUUCGUGACACACUGCGGCUGGAACUCGCUGCUGGAGUCGAUCGCACACGGCGUGCCGGUCGUGACGUGGCCGCACUUGGCAGACCAGUUCCUGAACGAGCGUCUGGCCGUGGACGUGCUCGGGGUGGGCGUGCCCGUCGGCGCAGCUGUGCCUGACGGCGAGGCCGUAAUGGUGGCGCGCGGAGACAUCGCGCGGGCGGUGUCGGAGCUCAUGGGCAGUGGCGACGUGGCCGAGGAGAGGAGGAGGAAGGCCAAGGAGUACGGCGAGAGAGCUCGCACGGCCAUGGCCAUAGGAGGUUCAUCGUACCAAAACCUGGCGCGGCUGAUACAGAGAUUCACGCCCAAUGAUGCCAAGGAACAGUAG